UGGUGGGAGCUCCCCUGGAGCCUGUGGCAGUCAACCAAAUGGGACAGCUGUAUGACUGCGUGUCUGCAGCUGGCACGUGCCGGCCCAUCUCCUUGCACAUCCCCCCAGAAGCUGUGAACGUGUCCCUGGGCCUGUCCCUGGUGGCCUCCACUAACCAUUCCUGGCUGUUGGCCUGUGGCCCAACUGUGCACAGAGCUUGUGGGGAGAACAUGUAUGCAAAAGGCUCCUGCCUCCUGUU
Molecule: long non-coding RNA, 238 nt
Organism: Fukomys damarensis (Damara mole-rat)
Lineage: Eukaryota; Metazoa; Chordata; Mammalia; Rodentia; Bathyergidae
Exons: 3
Source: RefSeq, a predicted model, not a curated record